GCUGAAGAGUCUAUGGAGAAGGAAGAUGGU
This 30-nucleotide small RNA is filed under the name Arabidopsis thaliana (thale cress). RNAcentral describes it as "ATSL243800". Lineage: Eukaryota; Viridiplantae; Streptophyta; Magnoliopsida; Brassicales; Brassicaceae. The record is from RNAcentral.